AUAGUUGCCUGGCAGGGGAGAGUCACAAAGGUUUUCCCAGAGCAAGACUCACCAUUGUUCCCAGUGUGCUGACCUGCAGUUUCCCCAAAUGCAGAAAAUUCACCUGCAUCACCUGUAGCAGUGGGACUGUGUUCAUGCUUUGCCGGU
This 147-nucleotide small nuclear RNA is filed under the name Meriones unguiculatus (Mongolian gerbil). RNAcentral's name for it is "U1 spliceosomal RNA (ENSMUGG00000026591.1)". The record is from RNAcentral. Lineage: Eukaryota; Metazoa; Chordata; Mammalia; Rodentia; Muridae.